AACCCCGCCAGGCCCGGAAGGGAGCAACGGUAG
This is a non-coding RNA of Saccharophagus degradans 2-40, 33 nucleotides long. NCBI's taxonomy places the organism in Bacteria, Pseudomonadati, Pseudomonadota, Gammaproteobacteria, Cellvibrionales, Cellvibrionaceae. The record is from Rfam.